CACAGUGUUUAUUCUGUGUUUAGUCACGCCGCGUCAAAAAUGUUCCACAGGGUUACUUCCGGUUUAUCGUUGUUUACCAACAGUCGACACUUCGUGUAUUAGGCCUAGGCUUAAUUUUGUCGAUCAUCAUGAAAUUGAAAUACACAUUUAAUAGUUUGGGGUGUAUGCGCUACAUAUUUGUUUAUGAGCGUUUGAUAAGCUACUACUGAUCUACGAAAUACAACGAAAGACUUCGUCAAGAACAGAAGACGAUGCAUGUCGUGUAACUCACACAAGGCCCAUCUGUCUAGUAACCGGAGGGGUAAAGGAAAAGAACGUAUUAGACUCACUGAAACCUGUCAAACAGGUAUAUGGGAACAGGAUCAUUUUCCAUGCCUUUCACUUGAGGUCUUCAGUUUCAUCAUUAAUCAUCUGAAUGUCGGUAUGCCAAACUCUCAUGAUGUCAUGCCAUUACUGGAUAUUCCUUAACACUGGUUUAUUUAAGCCACACUAUCUAUAACAUUGCCAAAAUAUUAGACUGAAAAUUUUCAAAUACACAAGAUUUGAAGCAGCAAAAGAAAAGAAUUACAUAUGUAUAACACACAAAAAAGAAAUUAAUUCUCACCUGGCUGAUAUGAACUUUUUACUCCUUUUUAGCUCCCUUUCACUGCAUACCAGCCAAUAACUAGCAGUCAUUAUAUGCAGAUCAGCCAUUGUUAUCAACCUGUGUAUAUAUAUGUUGAAUGAAAUAUGAAUGAAAAUUGUU
Molecule: long non-coding RNA, 745 nt
Organism: Ostrea edulis (European flat oyster)
Lineage: Eukaryota; Metazoa; Mollusca; Bivalvia; Ostreida; Ostreidae
Exons: 2
Source: RefSeq, a predicted model, not a curated record